Rhagoletis pomonella (apple maggot) is the source of this 522-nucleotide long non-coding RNA. RefSeq lists it as uncharacterized. NCBI's taxonomy places the organism in Eukaryota, Metazoa, Arthropoda, Insecta, Diptera, Tephritidae. The transcript has 2 exons. The record is from RefSeq and is a predicted model, not a curated record.
AAGCCCGCUUUGCGAAGUAGUACGAAAUUUGUCAAACUUCCAAAACCAAAAAAUUAGUGGUGACCCCGAGUCGUUACAACAUGACGGAAUCGACAAAAGGGCGAAUCGACGGAUGGGGAGAAUAUUUCAUCGAACAAAAUGCCAACUAAAGAUGUGGAGCUUGCAUCGCAAUGCAAGCUGCGACCGUUCUGAACUGAGAUGACAGACAAAUGGUUUCUACAAAUUGAGGCCACCUUUCAGUCGUACAAGACCACAUCUUAUGUCGGUAAAUACAAUCUGGUUUUCUCAGCAAUUAGCAGCGAUGCUUUAAAGGAAGCUGCGGAUUUUUUAAAAACCUUACCAACUCAAGACCGAUAUAUUAACCUCAAAAGUCAACUACUGUCACGUUUUACUGAUUCAGCCGACCCACAUAGGGUAUUUGGCUGAUUUAGGCAUAUUUUUAUCGCUACAAACAUCAAAUAUAGUUUUAGUUAUCGAAUAAAACAUUCACUAUAACUACCCUGUUACUAAUAGAAAAUUCAA